Small nucleolar RNA from Oryctolagus cuniculus (rabbit), 90 nucleotides. The record is from Ensembl. Lineage: Eukaryota; Metazoa; Chordata; Mammalia; Lagomorpha; Leporidae.
UUAAUUUCCAGAAUUAAAAAAAAGAAUCCUCUUUUGCAACCCAGAACUCAUUGAUCAGUAUGAGUUUUGAUAUAUACAAGCAGGAAUAGG